GGGGGAUAUUGCACAAUGGAGGGAACUCUGAUGCAGCGACGCCGCGUGAGGGAAGAAGGUCUUCGGAUUGUAAACCUUUGUCCUUGGUGACGAAACAAAUGACGGUAGCCAAGGAGGAAGCUCCGGCUAACUACGUGCCAGCAGCCGCGGUAAUACGUAGGGAGCAAGCGUUGUCCGGAUUUACUGGGUGUAAAGGGUGCGUAGGCGGCUCUGCAAGUCAGGCGUGAAAACUAUGGGCUUAACCCAUAGACUGCGUUUGAAACUGUGGGGCUUGAGUGAAGUAGAGGUAGGCGGAAUUCCCGGUGUAGCGGUGAAAUGCGUAGAGAUCGGGAGGAACACCAGUGGCGAAGGCGGUCUGCUGGGCUUUAACUGACGCUGAGGCACGAAAGCAUGGGGAGCAAAC
This 403-nucleotide ribosomal RNA is filed under the name uncultured bacterium. Its description in RNAcentral is "bacterial SSU rRNA". It matches the Rfam family "Bacterial small subunit ribosomal RNA", at positions 356 to 773 of the family's 1533-position model. The record is from RNAcentral.